GAUGAACGCUGGCGGCGUGCCUAAUACAUGCAAGUCGAGCGAACGGACGAGAAGCUUGCUUCUCUGACGUUAGCGGCGGACGGGUGAGUAACACGUGGAUAACCUACCUAUAAGACUGGGAUAACUUCGGGAAACCGGAGCUAAUACCGGAUGAUAUUUUGAACCGCAUGGUUCAAAAGUGAAAGACGGUCUUGCUGUCACUUAUAGAUGGAUCCGCGCUGCAUUAGCUAGUUGGUAAGGUAACGGCUUACCAAGGCAACGAUGCAUAGCCGACCUGAGAGGGUGAUCGGCCACACUGGAACUGAGACACGGUCCAGACUCCUACGGGAGGCAGCAGUAGGGAAUCUUCCGCAAUGGGCGAAAGCCUGACGGAGCAACGCCGCGUGAGUGAUGAAGGUCUUCGGAUCGUAAAACUCUGUUAUUAGGGAAGAACAAAUGUGUAAGUAACUAUGCACGUCUUGACGGUACCUAAUCAGAAAGCCACGGCUAACUACGUG
RNAcentral lists this ribosomal RNA (497 nucleotides) under uncultured bacterium. Its description in RNAcentral is "partial 16S ribosomal RNA". It matches the Rfam family "Bacterial small subunit ribosomal RNA", at positions 28 to 507 of the family's 1533-position model. The record is from RNAcentral.